UACGAAGGGGGCUAGCGUUGCUCGGAAUCACUGGGCGUAAAGGGUGCGUAGGCGGGUCUUUAAGUCAGGGGUGAAAUCCUGGAGCUCAACUCCAGAACUGCCUUUGAUACUGAGGAUCUUGAGUUCGGGAGAGGUGAGUGGAACUGCGAGUGUAGAGGUGAAAUUCGUAGAUAUUCGGAAGAACACCAGUGGCGAAGGCAGCCCCCUGGGCCAAUACUGACGCUCAUGCACAAAAGCGUGGGGAGCAAACAGG
RNAcentral lists this ribosomal RNA (253 nucleotides) under uncultured bacterium. Its description in RNAcentral is "partial 16S ribosomal RNA". It matches the Rfam family "Bacterial small subunit ribosomal RNA", at positions 524 to 776 of the family's 1533-position model. The record is from RNAcentral.